UACGUAGGGUGCAAGCGUUGUUCGGAAUCACUGGGCGUAAAGGGCGCGUAGGCGGCCUCAGGUGUCGGAUGUGAAAGCCCGGGGCUCAACCCCGGAGGUGCAUCCGAAACUCUGGGGCUGGAGGUCGGAAGAGGAGGGUGGAAUACCCAGUGUAGAGGUGAAAUUCGUAGAUAUUGGGUGGAACACCGGUGGCGAAAGCGGCUCUCUGGUCCGGACCUGACGCUGAGGCGCGAAAGCGUGGGGAGCAAACAGG
RNAcentral lists this ribosomal RNA (253 nucleotides) under uncultured bacterium. RNAcentral's name for it is "partial 16S ribosomal RNA". It matches the Rfam family "Bacterial small subunit ribosomal RNA", at positions 524 to 776 of the family's 1533-position model. The record is from RNAcentral.